AUUAAUUUCAACUCACUUUGUUUUGAGUUGAUUAUUGGUUCACCAAUCUACUAGGCUUUGAAUUUCAUGGUCAUGUUUUGUUUUUGAGUGCAUACAAGCAUGAUUCCGCCUUUAAUUGUUAAUUGCAUGCUAUAUGAUGUUGCUCAAAUGAACAUGUUUUCUCAAAAUAAUUCCUUCACCCCCGUGUCUCUCUCUCUCCUCCCUCACGGCUUCCUUUCUCUCUCCCUCUUGAAUUGUACGGACAAGCUAGGAACCUCCCAUUUCUUCACGGAUCGAAGGUUCUAAGGUAAGGUUUGAACUCCUAGUAAGCUUGUGAGUUCGUAUAUGUGAUUUGUGAAAGUUAAAAACCUCAGAAUCGUUGUGAAACCCUAACCCCGAAAAUGUGCAUUGUUCAUGCACACGUAAAAUCUUGCAUUUCAGGGAAUUUCAAGCUCAUAGUGAGCUUAAAGAGAUCCUCACGAGCUUCGGGGUACUUCGUUGGUAGAAUUUGGACGUCGGAGGACUGAGAACGGAGUUUUUCAAAUUUGGCCAGAUUAUCGAGCUUUCUCAAGUAAAAUCUAGUGGAUUUUAGACCUUGAAACUAGUCUAUCGUGAUUCUACAUGUUGAGGGCUUCAAAUUGAUAUAAAAUACGAAGAAAAUGGUUGAGAAAUGAGGGAGAACAAAGGGAUUGAAAAAUCCCCAGUUUUCCGGCCACCGGAAAACACAGUCCGGCGAACCAAGGAAGAAGACGCGCGUGGGGGACGUGUGUACCCGUGCCUGCCCUGGCGCAUGGGGGCGCGUGCCACGUCAAAAAAAUUUUCUAAAAAUUUCUCGACGUCCGUGACGUCGAGUAAGUCGAUGUGGUAUAUUCAUAUACCCAAAUUGAGCACCGUAUGAGAAGUUAUUUUGAAUUGUCGGUUAUGUGCAUUAAUUAACGUUUUUAUAGUUGUUUCACAUAUAGGUGACACUUAUCCCAAGGACGAGCGCAUCCAGGGACGUCGCGGGGGCUACGACCCAUCGACUUACCAGUGAGUGGGCAGUUUUUGUUUUCGUAUAUACCUAUAUACUAUCAAUUUUCCCAGAAAUUGAAUUUAUAUGAAAGUAUGUUUUCAAUUGCCAUGCAUGCAUAUUAUGAACAUUACAAAUUGAUAUUAAUGCAUAUAUAUGCGUGAAUUGGUGUUGUGGACGCACUGGUGAGUAUCAGGUGAGUUUUAUGUUAAUCAUGUGAAUCAUCGAUAAUGUGAAUUGUGCUGAGAACUCAUAAUCUGCACCCUUGGUGUUAGUGCUUAUAUUAUUCACCGCACCGCACGCUCACCUUG
This 1299-nucleotide long non-coding RNA is filed under the name Malus domestica (apple). Its description in RNAcentral is "long non-coding RNA (MDOM_LNC020454)". Lineage: Eukaryota; Viridiplantae; Streptophyta; Magnoliopsida; Rosales; Rosaceae. The record is from RNAcentral.